AAAGAGUCCUCCAUAAAAAGCUUCUAACUUUUUAAAAAGCAUUAACUUGUUUAG
Molecule: transfer RNA, 54 nt
Filed under: Cautires sp. UPOL 000084
Lineage: Eukaryota; Metazoa; Arthropoda; Insecta; Coleoptera; Lycidae
Description: partial tRNA-Ser
Source: RNAcentral